Molecule: ribosomal RNA, 402 nt
Filed under: uncultured bacterium
Lineage: Bacteria
Description: partial 16S ribosomal RNA
Rfam family: Bacterial small subunit ribosomal RNA
Source: RNAcentral
UGGGGAAUAUUGGACAAUGGGCGAAAGCCUGAUCCAGCCAUGCCGCGUGAGUGAAGAAGGCCUUUGGGUUGUAAAGCUCUUUUAGUGAGGAAGAUAAUGACGGUACUCACAGAAGAAGUCCUGGCUAACUCCGUGCCAGCAGCCGCGGUAAUACGGAGAGGGCUAGCGUUAUUCGGAAUUAUUGGGCGUAAAGGGCGCGUAGGCUGGUUAAUAAGUUAAAAGUGAAAUCCCGAGGCUUAACCUUGGAAUUGCUUUUAAAACUAUUAAUCUAGAGAUUGAAAGAGGAUAGAGGAAUUCCUGAUGUAGAGGUAAAAUUCGUAAAUAUUAGGAGGAACACCAGUGGCGAAGGCGUCUAUCUGGUUCAAAUCUGACGCUGAAGCGCGAAGGCGUGGGGAGCAAACA